This 84-nucleotide transfer RNA is filed under the name Candidatus Omnitrophota bacterium. RNAcentral's name for it is "Candidatus Omnitrophica bacterium (groundwater metagenome) tRNA-Tyr". It matches the Rfam family "tRNA". From Rfam's summary of the family: Transfer RNA (tRNA) molecules are approximately 80 nucleotides in length. Their secondary structure includes four short double-helical elements and three loops (D, anti-codon, and T loops). Further hydrogen bonds mediate the characteristic L-shaped molecular structure. tRNAs have two regions of fundamental functional importance: the anti-codon, which is responsible for specific mRNA codon recognition, and the 3' end, to which the tRNAs corresponding amino acid is attached (by aminoacyl-tRNA synthetases). tRNAs cope with the degeneracy of the genetic code in two manners: having more than one tRNA (with a specific anti-codon) for a particular amino acid; and 'wobble' base-pairing, i.e. permitting non-standard base-pairing at the 3rd anti-codon position. Lineage: Bacteria; Pseudomonadati; Candidatus Omnitrophota. The record is from RNAcentral.
GGGGAGUUACCCAAGCGGCCAAAGGGGACAGACUGUAAAUCUGUUGGCUUAACGCCUUCGAAGGUUCGAAUCCUUCACUCCCCA